GGACCCGCACAAGUAGUGGAGCAUGUGGUUUAAUUCGAAGAUACGCGCAGAACCUUACCAACACUUGACAUGUUCGUCGCGACUUUAAGAGAUUAAAGUUUUCGGUUCGGCCGGACGAAACACAGGUGCUGCAUGGCUGUCGUCAGCUCGUGUCGUGAGAUGUUGGUUAAGUCCCGCAACGAGCGCAACCCUCACUUUUAGUUGCCAUCAUUAAGUUGGGCACUCUGAAAAGAACUGCCAGUGAUAAGCUGGAGGAAGGUGGGGAUGACGUCAAGUCCUCAUGGCCCUUACGUGUUGGGCUACACACGUGCUACAAAUGGUAUCUACAAACAGGAAGCAAAACCGCGAGGUUAAG
RNAcentral lists this ribosomal RNA (355 nucleotides) under uncultured bacterium. RNAcentral's name for it is "bacterial SSU rRNA". It matches the Rfam family "Bacterial small subunit ribosomal RNA", at positions 917 to 1267 of the family's 1533-position model. The record is from RNAcentral.